ACUAUUCCCUGCCUGUACCUGUGUCCCACACCAGCUCUAGUCUAAAAUAUCCCUAAUUAACAUCUUGCUGUACAUUUAAUCACAGUUCAGUGCAAAUGUAGGAGUGAUGUUUGGAAGUUCAUCCCACUAAUAGCAGGAUGUCAUUUUUGUGAUAAUUCCCUAAAGGUAUCAUUAAAGGCAGGCAAAUCCUGGUUAAAAGGUACUAAAAAAAAAAACAAACCCUGAAAGAAAGGGAGUUGUACUUUAAAUCUACCCAGACCUUACAUUUGAAAUAAUGUAGAUACUUCUGUUUGGGCCAGUUUAGGAAAAUCACAGGUGGUUUUUUGACUCAGUCAGUACCUGAGGUUACUUGUUCUUUGAGUCUGUCAGCCUGUAACACUGUGAACUUUUACAGCCAUGAAUUACAGAAGUUCAGUUGAGAUUUAUUUUUUUUUUUUUUAAGCAAAGAGAUUUUAUUUUCUAGGCAACAAAAGAAAACAUCCAAGCAGUGAUAAGUGACACGUCUCCCUCAAACGGAACUGAUUCUCUCUGUCAGCAGAUUUCCAAGGCAAACAUGAUCUAGCAAAGCUAAACACUCUGGAUUAAAGAAUGCUAAUUUGAAAAAAUACUGCAACUGAGAAAUACCAAAACAACAACAAAAACAAGAUGUUUUUACACACUUUGAGAAAACCAUCCAAGGACACGAAGCCAAAAUCUAAGUGUUGCUCCCCGAAGUCAAAUGCGUUUGCAAACAUGGCAGACAAUAAAUAUGGAUCUUCCACUCCUGUUUCAAAGACACCCAAAGACACCUCGUGCACCUCUCUGAGGCUAAAAGCAGAGCGGGGUUUAACACUGGAAGCUAAAUGGUUUUCUACAGGAAACUUUCAACAGUGCUAUUUUAAUACUGAAUUAAAACCAAACCUGGUCCAUAGUGCUCUUGGUGAUUCUAGUCUUUAAUUAUUCAUGCCUUAAUUCAGAAAAGCACUUGUGUAAUUAUGUUUCUUCUUCAAUAAGACCUUCCCGUGUUUCAAGAUCCAACCGGGAGCUUUCGCUGAGAACUUCAGUGAAACGUGAUUUUUGUGUAGAAAAGGGGGUUCUGCUGCACCACUUUAGUCAGGUGCCUUAAGGAAUGGAGGCCUUUAAAACUGGAUUUUAGGUUCCACGUGGAAAGUGGGGUUUUUUUCUGCCUCAGUCCAAAGAUAGAUGCACGUUCUUGCUCCCCGUUUUAAAAGUGCAAGGAAGGUCACCCAAGACAGUAACAGAAAAAUGGCAGGCAAAGAAUAUUUUAAAAUUUAAGAAACAAGUAUGUGUUGCAGGCAUUUCAAAGGAAAAAAAAAAAAUCCCCUUCAGUAAUAUGCACCUUUACAGCACCUUUUAAAAAACCUCAAAAGCACUUGCAGUUAAGCCUCACAACCCCACUGUGAGGAGGGAUAUUAAACCCAUUUAAUCUUCCCUGAUACUCGACAGUACAAAUACAGCUUAUUUUGUUCUGAAAUUUCAACUGCACCUUUCAUUAUCAGAAUUAAAAGUCUUGCUACUCUACAGUCACCAGUGAUAAAACAAACACAUUAAGGCAGAAAGCAGAUGAAGAAACUUCAAGCCUCCCUUCUGGCUCAGCACUCUGGCCUUUAAAGGGCAAAACUUAUUAUCAGCAAAGAGUGAGAACUCAACCUUAAAGUGCUCAUAAUACAGUAUUUGGAACCUGGAACAGCUUUGUAACACUAUGGCCAUGACUGGCUCUACUCAAGUAAAGUCUGCUUAAAUGUAUUUAACAGAUGCAAAUUAAGUCACUUCCCUAACUACUUAUUUCCCUCUUGCCAUAAUUUCCAAUACUAUUAAGAAGAAGAAUACCAAGUAUUCCAGGAAAACAUGCCUACGUUCUGAUGCAGUGUAAACACCAGGGGGGUUGAGAGUUAUUUUUUUUCAAGCAACUAAAAACUACCUAUGGAGGAUUAAU
This is a long non-coding RNA of Lepidothrix coronata (blue-crowned manakin), 1936 nucleotides long. The record is from Ensembl. Lineage: Eukaryota; Metazoa; Chordata; Aves; Passeriformes; Pipridae.